GGUGAGAUGGCCGAGUUGGUCUAAGGCGCCAGGUUAAGGUUUAUAACUUAUCAUAAGACUAGUACAACCUCCUGGUCUAGUAAUAGGCGUGGGUUCAAAUCCCACUCUCAUCA
Non-coding RNA from Sclerotinia nivalis, 113 nucleotides. The record is from the annotation of a GenBank genome assembly. NCBI's taxonomy places the organism in Eukaryota, Fungi, Ascomycota, Leotiomycetes, Helotiales, Sclerotiniaceae.